This 66-nucleotide transfer RNA is filed under the name Chodsigoa parva (pygmy brown-toothed shrew). Its description in RNAcentral is "tRNA-Arg". It matches the Rfam family "tRNA". From Rfam's summary of the family: Transfer RNA (tRNA) molecules are approximately 80 nucleotides in length. Their secondary structure includes four short double-helical elements and three loops (D, anti-codon, and T loops). The record is from RNAcentral. Lineage: Eukaryota; Metazoa; Chordata; Mammalia; Eulipotyphla; Soricidae.
UAGUAAUUAGUUUAAAUAAAAUAAAUGAUUUCGACUCAUUAGAUUGUGAUCAUCUCACAAUUACUA